Nothoprocta perdicaria is the source of this 361-nucleotide long non-coding RNA. RefSeq lists it as uncharacterized. The transcript is spliced from 2 exons. Lineage: Eukaryota; Metazoa; Chordata; Aves; Tinamiformes; Tinamidae. The record is from RefSeq and is a predicted model, not a curated record.
UUUUUCAACAGAGACCAUACAUGAUUAUUUAGAAGUAAGGAGUGGAUCUACAGAAACUAGCACUGUUAUUGGGAGACUAAGUGGUCCUCAGUUACCCGCCUCUCUGUUCAGCACAACUCAUGAAACAAGUUUGUACUUUCACAGCGAUUAUUCACAGAACAAACAAGGAUUUCAUAUUGUGUACCAGGCCUAUCAGCUACAAAGCUGUCCUGAUCCUCGACCAUUUCGUAAUGGUUUUGUUAUUGGGAAUGACUUUACUGUGGGACAAACUAUUUCAUUUGAAUGUUUUCCUGGAUACACCUUAAUUGGAAAUUCAGCUUUGACUUGUCUUCAUGGCAUCAGCCGUAACUGGAAUCAUCCC